Molecule: transfer RNA, 74 nt
Filed under: Paulinella micropora
Lineage: Eukaryota; Cercozoa; Imbricatea; Euglyphida; Paulinellidae
Rfam family: tRNA
About the family: Transfer RNA (tRNA) molecules are approximately 80 nucleotides in length. Their secondary structure includes four short double-helical elements and three loops (D, anti-codon, and T loops).
Source: Rfam by way of RNAcentral
GAGUGUGUAGCUCGAAUAGGUAGAGCGUUGGACUUUUAAUCCAAGGGUUAUGGGUUCGAAUCCCAUCACAUUCA